RNAcentral lists this long non-coding RNA (1075 nucleotides) under Mytilus galloprovincialis (Mediterranean mussel). The record is from RNAcentral. Lineage: Eukaryota; Metazoa; Mollusca; Bivalvia; Mytilida; Mytilidae.
GUUUUUUUUUCUUUGGAUUCCUUUUGAAAUUUCAUCAUAGGAAAUUUUAAGCGAUUUGAGCUAGGACCUACGGUUUCCGAGCUACAAGGGGCCAAAAGGGGCUAAAACUGCCUUCUCUUUUUUGUUCGUCAAAUUUUUAUUUUUCAUCUUAUUUUCAUUUUGUUUUUUUCAUUAUGUUCCUUAUGAAAUUCCGCACCGAUAGUAUGGCAACGGAUUUAACGUAGCUUUUACCGUUUCCGAGCUAUUAGGGGCCAAAGUGGUGCUAAAUAAAAAAAAAAAAACUUUUUUAUUUCUCGUACGAUUUCAACGGGUUUUUUUUCUUUGGAUUCCUUAAGAAAUUUUCAACUCAGAAAAUUUUUACCGAUUUGAGCUAGGACUUACGGUUUCUGAGCUACAAGGGGCUAAAAGGGCUAAAACGAACUUCUCUUUUUUGUUUGUCAAAUUUUUAUUUUUCAUCUUAUUUUGGUUUUGUUUUUUUCAUUAUGUUCCUUAUGAACUUCCGCACCGGUAGAGUCAACGGAUUUAACAUAGCUUUUACCGUUUCCGAGCUAUUAGGGGCCAAAGUGGUGCUAACUCCAAAAAUAGAACUUUUUUAUUUCUCGUCAAAUUACAACAUUUUUUUUGUUUGGAUUCCUUAACAAAUUUCCAACCCGUUUGAUUCUCUCCAAAUUUAAGCUGGGACUUACGGUUUCCCUGCUACAAGGGUCUUAAUUUCUGUGUCCAGUAUAUUACUGUGUCCAGCUAAUUACUGUAUCCAGCAAAUUACUGUGUCCAGCAAAUUACUGUGUCCAGCACAUUAUUGUGUCCACUUUAGUAGUGUGUCAAUACUUGCCCAAAUGAACACUUGUCGACAACUGCGGUCGUGUCAUGCUGCGCUCGGCGAAGCUUUUUAUUAUGUAUUAGUAUAACAGUUGGAACAAUACUGUAUGUUUGGAUUCCAAAUAUGGCAAUUCCAACUUUGGUAAAUUUCCUGAAAGUCUCAAAGACUGUUUAAAUUUUGGAAAUGUUCCUUGAAACUAAUUGUGUUUUACAAUAACAUAUAAAAAGAUAUGCACACUUGGAUUUUUAAAAAAUG